RNAcentral lists this ribosomal RNA (468 nucleotides) under uncultured bacterium. Its description in RNAcentral is "partial 16S ribosomal RNA". It matches the Rfam family "Bacterial small subunit ribosomal RNA", at positions 28 to 507 of the family's 1533-position model. The record is from RNAcentral.
GACGAACGCUGGCGGCGUGCUUAACACAUGCAAGUCGAACGGUGAAGCUCCAGCUUGCUGGAGUGGAUCAGUGGCGAACGGGUGAGUAACACGUGAGCAACCUGCCCCUGACUCUGGAAUAAGCGCUGGAAACGGCGUCUAAUACUGGAUACGAGAAGGGCCCGCAUGGGCACUUUCUGGAAAGUUUUUCGGUUGGGGAUGGGCUCGCGGCCUAUCAGCUUGUUGGUGAGGUAAUGGCUCACCAAGGCGACGACGGGUAGCCGGCCUGAGAGGGCGACCGGCCACACUGGGACUGAGACACGGCCCAGACUCCUACGGGAGGCAGCAGUGGGCAAUAUUGCACAAUGGGCGAAAGCCUGAUGCAGCGACGCCGCGUGAGGGAUGACGGCCUUCGGGUUGUAAACCUCUUUCAGCAGGGAAGAAGCGAAAGUGACGGUACCUGCAGAAGAAGCACCGGCUAACUACGUG